Molecule: ribosomal RNA, 253 nt
Filed under: uncultured bacterium
Lineage: Bacteria
Description: partial 16S ribosomal RNA
Rfam family: Bacterial small subunit ribosomal RNA
Source: RNAcentral
UACGGAGGGGACUAGCGUUGUUCGGAAUUACUGGGCGUAAAGCGCACGUAGGCGGAUUUGUAAGUCAGGGGUGAAAUCCCGGGGCUCAACCUCGGAACUGCCUUUGAUACUGCAAAUCUCGAGUCCGGAAGAGGUGAGUGGAAUUCCUAGUGUAGAGGUGAAAUUCGUAGAUAUUAGGAAGAACACCGGUGGCGAAGGCGGCCCACUGGUCCGGUACUGACGCUGAGGUGCGAAAGCGUGGGGAGCAAACAGG